CAGUCGCCACGGUAAAACAGAGGGUGCAAGCGUUAAUCGGAAUUACUGGGCGUAAAGCGCGCGUAGGUGGUUCGCCAAGUUGGAUGUGAAAUCCCCGGGCUCAACCUGGGAACUGCAUCCAAAACUGGCGAGCUAGAGUAUGGUAGAGGGUGGUGGAAUUUCCUGUGUAGCGGUGAAAUGCGUAGAUAUAGGAAGGAACAUCAGUGGCGAAGGCGACCACCUGGACUGAUACUGACACUGAGGUGGGAAAGCGUGGGGAGCAAACAGGAUUAGAUACCCCAGUAGUCCCUGUCUCUUAUCC
RNAcentral lists this ribosomal RNA (301 nucleotides) under uncultured bacterium. RNAcentral describes it as "partial 16S ribosomal RNA". It matches the Rfam family "Bacterial small subunit ribosomal RNA", at positions 509 to 809 of the family's 1533-position model. The record is from RNAcentral.